RNAcentral lists this ribosomal RNA (793 nucleotides) under uncultured archaeon. Its description in RNAcentral is "bacterial SSU rRNA". It matches the Rfam family "Archaeal small subunit ribosomal RNA", at positions 1 to 774 of the family's 1478-position model. The record is from RNAcentral.
UUCCGGUUGAUCCUGGCGGACCCGACUGCUAUCGGAUUGAGAUUUAGCCAUGCGAGUCGAACGUCCCCCUGUUGCGGGGGGCGUGGCGUACGGCUCAGUAACACGUAGUCAACCUGCCCUGGAGACAAGGACAACCCCGGGAAACUGGGAUUAAUCCUUGAUAGGUCAUCUCAUCUGGAAGGAGAGAUGGCUUAAAGGGGUACGCGGGCCUCCUCCGCGAAUUCGCUCCAGGAUGGGACUGCGUCCGAUCAGGCUGUUGGCGGGGUAAUGGCCCACCAAACCUGUAACCGGUACGGGCCUUGAGAGAGGUGGCCCGGAGAUGGACACUGAGAGAAGGGUCCAGGUCCUACGGGGCGCAGCAGGCGCGAAACCUUCGCAAUGCGCGAAAGCGUGACGAGGUUAAUCCGAGUGACUUCCGCUGAGGAGGUCUUUUGUCAGCUGUAAAUAGGCAGGCGAAUAAGGGGAGGGCAAGCCUGGUGUCAGCCGCCGCGGUAAUACCAGCUCCUCGAGUGGUCGGGGCGAUUAUUGGGCCUAAAGCAUCCGUAGCCGGUUCCGUAGGUCCUCUGUUAAAUCCAACCGCUUAACGGUUGACCUGCAGAGGAUACCGCGGGACUAGGAGGCGGGAGAGGCGGACGGUACUCCGCGUGUAGGGGUAAAAUCCUUUGAUCCGCGGAAGACACCAGUGGCGAAGGCGGUCCGCCAGAACGCGCUCGACGGUGAGGGAUGAAAGCUGNGGGAGCGAACCNGAUUAGAUACCGGGUAGUCCCAGCCGUAAACGAUGCUAGCUAGAUGA